CCUACGGGGGGCAGCAGUGGGGAAUAUUGGACAAUGGGGGGAACCCUGAUCCAGCGACGCCGCGUGAGUGAAGAAGUAUUUCGGUAUGUAAAGCUCUAUCAGCAGGGAAGAAAGAAAUGACGGUACCUGACUAAGAAGCCCCGGCUAACUACGUGCCAGCAGCCGCGGUAAUACGUAGGGGGCAAGCGUUAUCCGGAUUUACUGGGUGUAAAGGGGGCGUAGACGGCGAUGCAAGUCUGAAGUGAAAGGCGGGGGCCCAACCCCCGGACUGCUUUGGAAACUGUAUGGCUGGAGUGCAGGAGAGGUAAGUGGAAUUCCUAGUGUAGCGGUGAAAUGCGUAGAUAUUAGGAGGAACACCAGUGGCGAAGGCGGCUUACUGGACUGUAACUGACGUUGAGGCUCGAAAGCGUGGGGAGCAAACAGGAUUAGAUACCCCAGUAGUC
Molecule: ribosomal RNA, 443 nt
Filed under: uncultured bacterium
Lineage: Bacteria
Description: partial 16S ribosomal RNA
Rfam family: Bacterial small subunit ribosomal RNA
Source: RNAcentral